This 253-nucleotide ribosomal RNA is filed under the name uncultured bacterium. Its description in RNAcentral is "partial 16S ribosomal RNA". It matches the Rfam family "Bacterial small subunit ribosomal RNA", at positions 524 to 776 of the family's 1533-position model. The record is from RNAcentral.
UACAGAGGGGGCAAGCGUUGUUCGGAAUUACUGGGCGUAAAGGGCGCGUAGGCGGCCUUCUAAGUCGAACGUGAAAUCCCUGGGCUCAACCCAGGAACUGCGUCCGAUACUGGGAGGCUUGAAUCCGGGAGAGGGAUGUGGAAUUCCAGGUGUAGCGGUGAAAUGCGUAGAUAUCGAGAGGAACACCUGCGGCGAAGGCGGGUUGCUGGGCCGACACUGACGCUGAUGCGCGAAAGCCAGGGGAGCGAACGGG